Molecule: ribosomal RNA, 546 nt
Filed under: proteobacterium MS-F-12
Lineage: Bacteria; Pseudomonadati; Pseudomonadota
Description: bacterial SSU rRNA
Rfam family: Bacterial small subunit ribosomal RNA
Source: RNAcentral
UGAGUAACGCGUGGGAACGUGCCCUUCUCUACGGAAUAGUCCCGGGAAACUGGGUUUAAUACCGUAUACGCCCUUCGGGGGAAAGAUUUAUCGGAGAAGGAUCGGCCCGCGUUGGAUUAGGUAGUUGGUGGGGUAAUGGCCUACCAAGCCGACGAUCCAUAGCUGGUUUGAGAGGAUGAUCAGCCACACUGGGACUGAGACACGGCCCAGACUCCUACGGGAGGCAGCAGUGGGGAAUCUUAGACAAUGGGGGAAACCCUGAUCUAGCCAUGCCGCGUGAGUGAUGAAGGCCCUAGGGUCGUAUAGCUCUUUCGCCAGGGAUGAUAAUGACAGUACCUGGUAAAGAAACCCCGGCUAACUCCGUGCCAGCAGCCGCGGUAAUACGGAGGGGGUUAGCGUUGUUCGGAAUUACUGGGCGUAAAGCGCGCGUAGGCGGAUUAGAAAGUUGGGGGUGAAAUCCCGGGGCUCAACCCCGGAACUGCCUCCAAAACUACUAGUCUAGAGUUCGAGAGAGGUGAGUGGAAUUCCGAGUGUAGAGGUGAAAUU